CCCUUAGAUGUUCUGGGCCGCACGCGCGCUACAAUGAUGAAUUCAACGAGUUUAUAACCUUGGUUGAAAAGCCUGGGUAAUCUUUUGAACUUUCGUCGUGAUGGGGCUAGACCCUUGCAAUUAUUGGUCUCCAACGAGGAAUUCCUAGUAAACGCAAGUCAUCAGCUUGCAUUGAUUACGUCCCUGCCCUUUGUACACACCGCCCGUCGCACCUACCGAUUGAAUGGUCCGGUGAAAUCUUCGGAUUGAGACUUUGUUUUCUUCACGGAAAACGCUGUCUUAAAAAGUUGAUUAAACCUUACCAUUUAGAGGAAGGUGAAGUCGUAACA
This 329-nucleotide ribosomal RNA is filed under the name uncultured eukaryote. RNAcentral's name for it is "partial 18S ribosomal RNA". It matches the Rfam family "Eukaryotic small subunit ribosomal RNA", at positions 1470 to 1796 of the family's 1831-position model. The record is from RNAcentral.